UUUUUUUUUUUUUUUUUUUUUUGGUAAAUAUGUAGACCUAUUUUAUUUGUCAGGGAUCCCUGGGUGGCUCAGCAGUUUAGCACCUGCCUUCGGCCCAGGUUGUGAUCCUGGAGUCCUGAGAUCGAGUCCCACAUCGGGGUCCCUGCAUGGACUCUGCUUCUCCCUCUGCCUGUGUCUCUGCAUUUCUCAUGAAUAAAUAAAUAAAAUCUUAAAAAAAAAAAAGAGUAUCAAUUUUAUUUAGGUACAAAAAUGAUCAGAAUUUCAGUCCUGGCUGGGUAGCCUUGGGCAAGUUACUUAACCUUUGCUACUCAAAAUGUGGUCCAUGUGCCAGCAGUAGACAGAUACCUGGGAGCUUGAUGGAAAUGUGUUACAUCAGGCCUACCCCAUAUUUGCUGAAACAGAGCCUGUAUUAACAAGAUCUUCAGGUGUUAUGCACAUGAGAGGUGGGGAAGCAUUCAUUGUACUGCAUACCUGAAACUACUAUAACACUGUAUUUUAACUAACUGGAAUUAUUAUUGUUGUUGUUGUUAUAUUUUUUAAGUAAUCUCUAUACCCAAUGUGGGACUUGAACUCAUGACUCCAAGAUCAAGUCGUAUGCUCUACCUACUGAUCAAGCCAGGUGCCUCUUAACCAGAAUUAAAUGAAAACAGGGGUGUCUGGGUGGCUCAGCUGGUUGGUUGUGCCUGCCUUCUGCUCAGGUCAUGAUCUCGGUGUCCUGGAAUUGAGCCCAUGUCAGGCUCCCUGUUCAGUGGGGAGUCUGUUUCUCCCUCUCCCUCUGCUGCUCCCUGCUUGUGCCUGCUUGCUCUUUCCCGCAAAUAAAUAAGAAAAUUAAAAAAAAAAAAAAAAAAAAAAAAAAAACGAAGACUUAAAAAGCCAAAAACAAAACAAAACAAAACAAAAAAACACUAGGGAAACAUUGAUUUAACAUCUCCAAGUGUCACUCUCAUAAGAGAGGAGCCAAAGUGGCUUUUAAACAAAUUAAAUAUAAAUAUAACCAGCUUUUAAAACAAAUUUGCUAAGUCAUUCUCACCAAUUUAUUCUUCCAAACAAGCUUUCGAAUCCUUUAUCAGCAUUCCACCAAAAAAACAAAAAAAAAACAAAACAAAAAAAAAAAAACAAACCAAUAAAACACCCCAGUGGAAUUCUCAUUAGAAUUACAUUAAAAUAUAAAAUAAUUUGAGAAUUGGUAUCUUUAUAAUAUUUAUUCUUCCUAUCCAGGAACAUGGGCUGUCUUUCCCAUUUAUUCAGUCUUUUUACUUUUUAUUCAAGUAUAACGAUUCAAUAAUUCUAUACAUUACACAGUGUUCAUCCUGAUAAAAAUAUGGAACACCAUGAAUUUGCGUGUCAUCCUUGUGGAGGAGUCAUACUAACCUUUUCUGUAUAGUUCCAAUUUUAGUAUAUGUGCUGCCAAAGCAAGCAAUAUAUAUAUAUAUAUAUAUAUUUUUUUUUUUUUAGCAAGCAAUAAAUUUAACCAGCUUUUUAACAAUUAAAAAUUAAGCAGCUGGCUCAAUCUUGGAGCUUGUGACUCUUGAUCUCGGGAUUGUAAAUUUGAGCCCCGUGUUGGGUGUAGAGAUUACUUAAUAAAAUCUUUUUAAAAAAUUAAGCAGAACAGAAAGUAAAGUGAAAAGCAGGGCAGCCUGGGUGGCUCAGCGGUUUAGCGCCGCCUUCAGCCCAGGGCGUGAUCCUGGAGACCCCGGAUUGAGAGUCCCACGUUGGGCUUCCUGUAGGGAGCCUGCUUCUCCCUCUCCCUGUGUCUCUGCCUCUCUCUCUCUGUGUGUCUCAUGAAUAAAUAAAUAAAAUCUUAAAAAAAAAAAAAAGUCCUCCUCCAUCUCCCAACUCCUCCUCACCCCACAACACCCCUACAACUCCUGUCCCCCACUAGCCAUUCUCUGAACCUCCUCCAGUUUGGCCUGGGGGUCUUUGUCCUUGGCAGGCAGCAACCACCACACUCCAGGCAUUAUUUGCCUUGAGUCUGGGGGGGUAGCACUAAAAAAUCAUCCUUCCCUUCUAUAAGCCAAUAUGUUCUUCAAAGAAAUGCUCACUCUGAUCAGGCUGACUGAUCCCUCCCUUUCUCCUAUAAAGCCCACAGGAGGGCAUGGUUCCAGGUCAAAAACUGGUCCAGGGGGAUCCCCGGGUGGCUCAGCGGUUUAGCGCCUGCCUUUGGCCCACAGUGGAAUCCUAGAGUCCUGGGAUCGUGUCCCACAUCAGGCUCCCUUCAUGGAGCCUGCUUCUCCCUCUGCCUGUGUCUCUGCCUCUCUCUCUCUUUGUGUCUCUCAUGAAUAAAUAAAUAAAAUCUUAAAAAAAAAAAAAAAAAAACUGGUCCAGUCACCUCUUAGCAACUUAUAAGGAGAGAUCCCUACCUCUCUCUUAAAAAUGUUAGGGUCAGGGGAUCCCUGGCUGGCUCAGCAGUUUAGUGCCUGCCUUUGGCCCAGGGCGUGAUCCUGGAGUCCCGGGAUCGAGUCCCAUGUCGGGCUCCCUGCAUGGAGCCUGUUCUCUGCCUGUGUCUCUGUCUCUCUCUCUCUCUAUGUCUAUCAUAAAUAAAUAAAAUCUUUAAAAAAAAAAAAAAAAAAAAAAAAG
RNAcentral lists this long non-coding RNA (2577 nucleotides) under Canis lupus familiaris (dog). RNAcentral describes it as "lncRNA (ENSCAFG00000056650.1)". The record is from RNAcentral. Lineage: Eukaryota; Metazoa; Chordata; Mammalia; Carnivora; Canidae.